This 450-nucleotide ribosomal RNA is filed under the name uncultured bacterium. RNAcentral describes it as "bacterial SSU rRNA". It matches the Rfam family "Bacterial small subunit ribosomal RNA", at positions 330 to 794 of the family's 1533-position model. The record is from RNAcentral.
UCCAGACUCCUACGGGAGGCAGCAGUGGGGAAUAUUGGGCAAUGGGCGCAAGCCUGACCCAGCAACGCCGCGUGAAGGAAGAAGGCUUUCGGGUUGUAAACUUCUUUUCUCAGGGACGAAGAAAGUGACGGUACCUGAGGAAUAAGCCACGGCUAACUACGUGCCAGCAGCCGCGGUAAUACGUAGGUGGCAAGCGUUAUCCGGAUUUACUGGGUGUAAAGGGCGUGUAGGCGGGAGUGCAAGUCAGAUGUGAAAACCACGGGCUCAACCUGUGGCCUGCAUUUGAAACUGUACUUCUUGAGUACUGGAGAGGCAGACGGAAUUCCUAGUGUAGCGGUGAAAUGCGUAGAUAUUAGGAGGAACACCAGUUGCGAAGGCGGCUCUCUGGACUGUAACUGACGCUGAGGCACGAAAGCGUGGGGAGCAAACAGGAUUAGAUACCCCUGUAAC